RNAcentral lists this non-coding RNA (21 nucleotides) under Caenorhabditis elegans. The record is from RNAcentral. Lineage: Eukaryota; Metazoa; Nematoda; Chromadorea; Rhabditida; Rhabditidae.
UCGCUGGUUUUCUUCGCGUCU